This is a long non-coding RNA of Suricata suricatta (meerkat), 1596 nucleotides long. RefSeq lists it as uncharacterized. Lineage: Eukaryota; Metazoa; Chordata; Mammalia; Carnivora; Herpestidae. The transcript has 3 exons. The record is from RefSeq and is a predicted model, not a curated record.
CUUGUUCUUUUAUCUGAAGGUCACUUGCUCGAAUUAUGUCUACAGUCAUAAAGAGUGCAUGGUGGUGGUGGCCUAAAGAACUCAUGGACAAAUGGGAGAAGACAUCAAGCAAACAGGAGACAACACAACAUCCUGAAGCCUUCCUCAUGUGCUUCAGAUCAAAACCUUAUUGGGGUGCAGAGAGAUUUAUGAUUCAUUAUAUAUGUGGCUACAGAAGUACUCUGGGAAACUGCCAGUUGUAAUUUGUUCUCUUCUAGACGACUAUAGACAAAUUCAAGAAUGGAGUGGUGGAAAAGACAAAGUUCACAUAUUCAAAACUUCUUGAAUUUCUGAUGCUUGGAUAUGCCUCCCUACAUAGAACAGCUGUUUUCUCCCCCAGGCUCCAUUUACCUAAAGACAUUCUGGGUUGCCCUUCGGUAGUUUUUGAAGCUCUAUCUCUACAUCUUUCCUAAUCUUACCCUUGUCUCCAUGCAGCUAUCUUUUGUGAAUCUCAGGGAUAUGGCACAUUUUGUCUUUCACUGACUCAUUUGUGACUGGGAGUCCAAUUAUAAUGUGUGGGUUAUUUCCCCUCAUAGCAAACAAUCUCACACCAGCCGGUAUCCCACAAUUCAGCUCAAUUGUGAUGCUUAUCUACUCAAGAGAUAGUAUGAGAUUCCACAGGUUAAGGGUUCAGUCCUACAAGACUGCCCUCCACUCCCAUUUCAGGCACCAGCUGCAAGUCCAGGCUCUCACCUGUGCUUCUGACUGACUGGCUAUACAGAUCAGAGGUUACAAUAAUCUCUUCCCUGGAUUUGAUUCAUAUACCAGGGCAACUCACAGAACUUGGAGAACCAUUUUACUUAUUAGAUCACCAGUUUGUUAUAAAAGGAUAUAAUCCAAGAACAGGCAGAUGGAAGAGAUGUACAGGGCGAGGUAUCUGGAAAUGGUGUAGGGCUUCCACGCCUUCUGUGUGCAUCUCUCCCCACCUCCGUCCCCUUGUCACUUGUUUACUAACCCAGGAACUCUCUGAACUCUGUUCUUUGGAGUUUUUAUGGGGCCUCCAUUACACAGCCAUGACCAAUUAAAUGACUGGUUUUUGGUGACUGAAUUCCAUACCUCCAGCCCUUCUUCCCUCCCUGAAGAUGCAGGUUAGGUGGGGCUGAGCUUUCCUACCUUCUAACUAGGUGGUUGGCUCCCCUGGCAAUUAGCUCACAUUCUCACCUAGGGGCUUUCCUAAAAAGUGCCUCAUUAACAUAACAAGAUGUCUAUGGUCCUCACCACUUAAGAAAUUUCAAAGGUUUUAGGUGUGGUAUGCCAGGAACAGGGAAGAAGACCAAAUAUAGAAUUUAUUAUAAAUCACAAUAUCACACUCCUCGCAGCUUUCACAACACUAGAUGGGUUAGAAUCUAGAAAGUUUACAAUGGCAAUACCCUUCUAUCCGCUCUGUAUAGGUAAUUCUCAAAUCUGUCUGUGUAACAGAAUCACUUCAGUAACUGGGUAAAAAAGUUUAUAGCCCUGAAUAAUAUCCUGUCAUUGUGAAGCAGAAUUUCAGAGGCGGGGGCCUCUAGAAUAUGCACUAAUAACAAAAUAAUAAUAAUAUAAUAAUAAAAAACAACU